Perca fluviatilis (European perch) is the source of this 404-nucleotide long non-coding RNA. RefSeq lists it as uncharacterized. NCBI's taxonomy places the organism in Eukaryota, Metazoa, Chordata, Actinopteri, Perciformes, Percidae. The record is from RefSeq and is a predicted model, not a curated record. The transcript has 3 exons.
UGGCGGCCGCGUCAACGUCUCAUCGUAUAUAUGGUUCUGCGGUUCGACCCAGCUCUCGCGAGAUCUGCGCGGUCCAAAGGUUUUUCCACUAUGGUUUCCAGUCACAACAAACAGCGGCUAGAAAAAGCGGUUUUUAAUCUGAGAAACUUGCUUUUUUCUCUGUCGUGGUGAUCAGACGGUGAUGAUGACGACAAAGAGCUGAUGUGGUCUGAGGAGGAGGAGGAGGAUGAUGAUGAAGAUGAAGAUGAGGGUGAACAACAGCCAGCUGCUGUUUCUGUCCAGAGAAGAAACAUCUGGAAACUUCCAGAAAGAAGGAACGCUGCGAGUUGGACGACAGGAGAGAGAUCUCCGUGAGCGGUUCUGUCGGCUGAGAGGAAACCUGCUGUUCAUCCUGAAAAGACAGG